UAGGGAAUCUUCCACAAUGGACGAAAGUCUGAUGGAGCAACGCCGCAUGAGUGAAGAAGGGUUUCGGCUCGUAAAACUCUGUUGUUAAAGAAGAACGUAUCUGAGAGUAACUGUUCAGGUAUUGACGGUAUUUAACCAGAAAGCCACGGCUAACUACGUGCUAG
This 164-nucleotide ribosomal RNA is filed under the name uncultured bacterium. RNAcentral describes it as "partial 16S ribosomal RNA". It matches the Rfam family "Bacterial small subunit ribosomal RNA", at positions 355 to 511 of the family's 1533-position model. The record is from RNAcentral.